UUUUUUUUUUUUUUUUUUUUUUUAAUUAGAUGCAUAUAUAAUUCAAUGAAUCACAUAUUUACUUUGAUGCAUAUGCAAAUAAUAGUUUCAAUGCAUGUACAUAUGUAAGAUUCAAUUCAUGGCAAAUAUCAAAUUCACAUAAUUGUAGCAAUUGUGAUUAUGAAGCAUACACAAUUUAUGUAGAAUCUAAAAUACGUUAAACGUAAAGUUGGGUCAUGCAUCAUGGUGAAUGUUCAUGCUAUCAGGGCUUGCAAAAUAUCGAGUUAAAAACCGUUGUUUGGAAAGAACCUGAUUGCGUGAUGAUAUGGAUGAACUGGUUUGAUGCAGAAAAAAUCUCCAACGUCAGAUUCCUAAGCGCAGCGGUAGGAGCGUGCUGAUAACGUGUUGUGGUCUAUUUUAUCUGACAGAGGGACUAGGGCCGGCGGCAGAGAGAGAGAGGAGAGAGAUGUGUGUUUGUAGAAUUGUAGGGGAAUGUGUGUGUUGUUAUCCCUCCUACAUUGUGCCUUUAUUUAUAGUAGUAAAGGAAGAGAAGAUAUUCCUUCUCCUCCAAGUAAUACAAGUUGUAAUAGGAAAGGAUAACUAGAAUCAAAUCUUAUCUAGGAUUUACACAAUCAUACUUAAACUAUGAAUGUUUACAACAUAUAUUUAUAUUUAUGACUAAAUUUUUUUUCAUAUAUUUUUAGUUUUAGUUUGUACCCAUUUUUAAUUUGUAAUUCUUUUUUAACUUGUAGCAAUUUUAUUUUCACUUUUAAUUUGUACCCAUAUUUUUUAAAGUUUAUUUGUAUUUUUACCCAUAUAUAUUGUUUUUAUUUGUACUUUUUAUUUUGCUAAAUGUACCCAUUCAUGUAAAACUUUUUAAUCUUAAAAUGUACUCAUUCUUAAAUAUACCAAUUUGUUAUAUGUAAAAUUUACCCUCUUUUUUUUAUAUAUAAAAUCUAUUCAAUUUUUUUCUAAUCCAUUUUUAAACGUAUAUGGGUACAUUCUUGUUUCUUUGAUUUUAAAAUGUAUCCAUAUCAAGUUUAAUUGAAGAAAUUUACUAAUGUUAUUAAGCCUAAUAUCUUUCUUUUUUUUUUCUUUUCUUUUUUUUUUUUUUGUGAUUUAGAAGAAUGUACCCAUGUUUUGAUACAAUAAAUUUUUUGGUUAAUUUUGAUGAAUGUACCCAUGUUUAUACACACACACAAUAGUAUAUUUAUAUUUUAAUAUUUUUAAUCCCACAAAUUAUGGUUUUUUAAAUUUAAAAUCUAAUUUAUAUAAACAACUAAAAUUUCUAAUUUUUAAUUUAAAAAAAUAUAGUAACGUACAUAGAAAUAAAUUAUCACAUUAAUUUCAGGGACCUCGAUCAAAAAUUAAAAACCAACAAGAUUUUAAUCAAAGAAUAUUCAUAACUAAGGACCGCAUCCAAAGUUUCCCUAAAAAUAAUCUCCCAAAAAUGUGUGACAAAUAGGUAGGGAUUAUUAGAGGGUGUAUAAAAUGAUGGUCCUUAAACACAAACAUAGAGUUCAGUCCCGUCUAGGAUUUCGAAGAGCUAAAAGUGAUUUUUGAUUACUAAAAGGUCACUUCUAACUACAUUUGGCAUAACAAGCACUUGGAUUUUUUUUUUACAAAAAGUUUCAACUCAUUUGAAAUAAAAACACUUCUAGCAUAAGCUUUUUUUUUUUUUUUUUUUUUUUUUUUGCUUGCAUCAAAUGCAUUCAUUAUGACUUUGCAGUUGACUAGAGUCAUAUAUGAACUUUAACUUGUAUAAUCUUUUGGAUAGAAAUUGAGUUUAAAUUUAAAAUAGAAAGUUGCAACAUUUGAUGUGCAUUGAAGGAGGAGAGAUUUUUCUAAGUUACUUGAACAUGAUCAGUUCACCCGUGUCAUAAUAUACUUAAGGAGAAGGCUUUUACUUUUUCAAGUGUCCAUCUAAUUGUAUAAGACACAUGGUGUACCAAGUACACUAAAAAAUCUCUCCUACUAUGACAUCCUGUUUAUACCUAAUUUUGCAUUAUCAACAUGUGUAAUUGACGUCGUUGGAUGAAUUAAUAUUUUUCUAGACUUACUACUCAUCUCAAUUAUCGUAGUAAUUAUUGUAGAGAAAUAUAUGAGUUUGGAUGCAAGGAUAAAACUGAGAGGGCAGUGGAUUGAUACGUCGGAGGCAGCCAACAAAGGUGGUAGUCUGAUUAGACAAGGCAGGAAUUGUGGAAUCGGUUUGGCUGAUUUUUCUUAAGGAGUCCAUAUUUGUAAAGUUUUAGUUGCUGUUGUUAUUUAACACCGAUGAACAAGAUGCCACUUUUGUCCCAAGCUUCUUCGCUUACUACAACCCAAAGAGAAAUUAUCGCCAAUGACUUUGCAGUAAUAUCAAAUUUUCUAAACUUUCUCUAUCACUGCCUAUUCUUUACUACAAUCCAAACCAAACGAUCCAAUCCGGACCUUGGCAACUCCUAAUGGAAUAAUGCUCUGGAGAGAGACUGAGUUAAAUUUAAAAUAAAAAGUUACAAUUCUUCAUGUGCAUUUGAUGAGGAGAGAUUUUUCCAAGUUACCGGUACACAGGCAAUACAGCUGUGUCAUAAUAUAUGUGAAGCGAAUGUUUUUUUUUUUUUAAUACUUGUAUUAUGACACGUGGUCCGGUGACAUCCAAAAUUCUCUCAUAACAUGCCAUUCAAAUUAAAAGCCUUAUGAACAUGCAGAGAGUUCCCGUAUACUCGAAAAUUGGAAGAGUCGAAGUUUAAAUGAACCAGCAAACGCAGAGUGCAAUGCAAUCAAUAUUAAUCUGGCCGUUCCGGGUGCGUGUAUUAAUCUUUUGCUCGACUCUUGAAAUUCCUGAAUUCAUUAGUAAAUCAAAAUAAUACACUAUAUAACAAUCUGUAUGUUGCAGAUUCAACUUAUAUACAUAUAGAGUAAGGAGGGAAAUGAGAAAACUGUGGCAGGUUUGGCUGGAACUGUUGCAAUUUUAGCUCUCGCUGCGUACGGUCUAUAUGGAGUGUUUGGAUUGGGUUCCAGCCCAAGGAAGACGAUGAAGGCUCCCGAAAGAGAGUACCGAAUCUUCAGGGGUGAUUUCGAGGCUGACCCUUCUGCUUACUUCAGGGACCUGCGCAAGUAGCAAGUUGAAAAUUGGAACUGAAAGAGUACCUUAAAUAUGAAUACACAGUUGUUGGAGUUUUGGAGAGGUGGAGAGUUUUGCUUUUGUUUUGUUUAUGUUGUAUUUUCCCCUAUGAUCUAUGUUGAAUGUUAAACCUUGGAGUUGGGGUUGAUUAACAUUCUACGGUGAUACAAGGCCGCCAUACCUGCAAUCAGUGAGUGAGCGAGUGAAUUCCCGAAGCACCAACAUGAGUAAUUUAUUGCCCAAAAAAAGGCAACGAAAAACAUAUCAGAAAUGCUGCUAAUGUUGCCUUUAUUACCUUAACCUCGAAGGCAGAAGUCAUCAGAAGGUAAUACGCAACUGAAACAAGAAAAACCAAACUCAUCGCCUUCUCUUGUUGCCUUUGCCCUUUCCUAAUUGCCCAGACUUCAUAGCGUGUUCUUGCUCUUGUAGGAAAAGUCGUACUUUUCCAUAUUUCUCAGCUUUCUCUUCUUCCAUCAGCGCCUUAUCCCUUGCCUUCAUCUCGUAAAGGAAAGAAUUAUCCUUACGCAGUUCACGAAUAGCCUCUUUAGCUUCUUGCUUCAAAAGUUUCUUCAUCUUUCUUAGCUCGGCUCAUUCCCGGUCUGGAUCAUAGUCUCUGCCCUUAACAAAGCUGCACCAACAAAAUAUCAUUCAGUGGUUAAUCCAGCAAUACGUACAAGCGCUACCCAACAUAAUAACAUUAAGACAAUUGGGGACGGGUGGUAAAGAUAAAUUACUUCUCCUCAAAUUUCGGAUUGAGCAUUUUGAUAGCCACUGGCUUUUGCUUCCGCAACUGAAGUGGUUGCCGCAGAAUGUGAUGUUUAUCUGCUCGUCUUAAUCAGUUCAGCAACAUCUUUCAAUUUGUCUGUUAAUACUUGUGGUAUAUUAUCCUGUUCCGCCACUUCAAGCAACAAUACUGAAAUUGGCAAAAAGAUUUCAGGAAAAGAACUGAAUCCUUCAUAAACAAUGACAAACUCACGUAGAGUUUCAAUCACCGUCACCAGCACACUAGCCCUGAAAAUUAAAAGUUCAACUUUUAAAGACAGAAUACCAUAUGCAAACUUUACAGUAUUGAUAUACAAAAUUAGAAUUACAAAAGCAAUAAUCUGGUGGUGGCAAAAAUCAAGUUGGACCAAUUUUGAGGAUCAUUUAUCGACAGCAAAACUGAAGUCUGCAUAAACCCUAAACAACAUACGUCACGUGGGCACUUCUACAAUGUAUCAUUGAGUACUGUAACAAUUUCCUAACCUGAAAUCGUCAGAUCUGAAAAAAGAGGAGUCUUCCGGUAGGUCCAUUAUUGUGAGAAAAUUCAGAGGAUUGACCUGACCUACGGAUUCAUUUAUACAUAAGAGAGGCCUGAUUGCUUUUAAUUCCAUAAGAUGACAAAACUGCAAGAAAACAAAACGAGGAUUGUUACUUCGUCACAUAACUGUAAACUAAUUUCCUUCCAAGGACAAUGAAACCAUAAGGUGCCGCCUAAUGUAUAAAAAAUUACGUUACAAGGCAGUCAUACAUGAGAAUUUUGACUUGGCAUUGGCUUUCUGUCUUUAGCUGCCAUCAACAAUGUUGUGAGAAACAUGACUGCUUCAGGACAGAACUUCCGAGAUUGUUUGGUUAUCUACAGAAUGCAUUAAUUUUAAAAGAAAGAAAUGGGAAUUGAAACUGUUGGACAGAACAGUAAAUCGACCAAUUCAUAUAACUACAAAAUACAUACAGAGAGAAGCAUGGAGCACAAGAAAGAACCAACUGCAGUAUCACGACCAGACAUGAUAGGACUACGUGCCAGAUAUUCACACAUCAACAGUGUUGCUGGAGUCAUGACCACAUGACGAAAAUCAGAGCAUGGAAAUAUCAGGGACCAAAGCCUCAGAAGAAAUAUUGUCUUUGAAGAAGGCCAAUAACUCUGUUCUGUAAAAACAAAACAAUGACAAGAAGUCAGCACCUCAGCAAGAGGAAGCUUGUAACUAUGCUUCCGAACAAACAAAAAGCUAUAGAUUCCAUUAGGGAUUACCUGGGUUCUUAACGGUCUCACUAAAUUCCGUCCGCGCCCGUAAAAUUCUCUCACGAGCACAAAUUGCAGCGAAGUAUGGAGUCUCCAUACUCAUCUCAAUCAAUGGCUUAACCAGAAAAUUUAACAACUCCAUAUUCAACGGCUUUCUAUUUGCUAAUAUGGCAAAAUACUGCAGGAGUACACCAUAAAAUACCUGGAAAAAUGGCAGAAACACUCAUGAGUACUUAGCAAAUAUAAUGAAAACCGAAGAUGUAUAUCUUCACUGACUUUUUGCUUGGAUCAAGUCAAAUAUUAAACGACAGAACAGAAUUGUUCCACAUUUGACACAUAAUUUCAAUACUCGUUUCCAAAAACAUAGAAGCAACAAACAGUUUCAUACUUGCAUUUUCUUCCUGUUUUCUGCUGCAAGCUUGAUUGCAUUGCUUUUCCGGAUUCGAUUGAUAAUCAAGACAAUGUCAGCAUUAGAGAUUAUCCACCAAUGCACCAAACUCUUCAAAGCUUUUUGGAGCUUCGAUUAGGUACGGGAGGUCUGACUGAGUAGAAGGUCGUUUACCGUCCUGAGAUAUUUUCUUGGCAUCUAAAGAAUCGCCCUCUUUUUUACUGGCUUCAGAAGCAUCAAUUUUUUUCAUUUUUUUCAGCUUUCUUGGUUCCACCUCUUCUUCAUCAGCAUCAUCAUCCUCUUCAUGUGCUUCAGACCCAUCUUCUUUUUCUUCCUCCUCAUCCAAAUCCGUUCCAAGAUUAUCAUCAUCACUUUGUUCCCAGUCCUUCAUAAAUAGAUUCUUUUCACCCAGGUUAAUAUCUUUAUCAGAUCCUUCACUGUCAUCUUCAGGACUUUCUGAAUCCUCAGAAGCAUCGCCUUCUUCACUCUCAGAAUCGCUAGCAUCUUUUCUUUCUAGAAUCUCAUCAACCCAACCCUUUUUAAUCCGCGGCUCUUCAUCAAGAGAGAAGGAAUCGCCAAGAUCAUCUCCAGAUAUGGGUCUUGGCUUAUUAUGGUUAGAUGGUGUCUCAGCAUCUUCAUUGUCAUCGUCACUAUUGAUAUCAGUGGCAAGCAUCCUCUUCUGUCUCUCUUCCUGAAUUGUGAAACAAACUCGAAUGAGCAUUCAAUUCAUACUAAAAAAGUACAAAUGAGAUGCAACAUCCAAUUUCUCAAAGUUCUUUGUUCCACUAAAUAAAGGGCAUGUUUACUUAUCAAAAAUGGACAUCCAAGGUAUGGGUAUCAUUCCCAACAUAUCCUGCGUAUACUAACACACAAGGAAUGAAAAAAAAAUACGUCAACCAUGUAUGAAAUCAUCAAAGCGGGUAACCAGUAUCAUUCCCAUUCAUGACUUCUUCCUAUUAAACAUGCCCAAAAGGAAAUGGAAAGCCUAACAUUCAAAAAGUUGAAUAUAAUGCAUUUUCUUGUUACAUCCUCAAAACAUCAUGCCACUUGCAUCACACCAGAAUCAAAUUAAACAAAUUGUAUUAGAGAUGACACCAGUUACCAUAUAUAUAUUCAUAACAAACAAAGGAUAUAUCUUAGUGGCCAAAAGCAUAUAAACUGCACUUGCCAACAUUCUACUGCUAUUUACUAAUAAGGACUGCUAAUAUUGCAAAUAACUUCAAAAAUUUGCACUAUUCCUUGAUUAUGAGGAAGGAACUACAAUCAUGUAUAUACCAAUUUGGACAUAUAUUGGCACCAGAACAUUGAACUUGUUAGCAACAAUAAAAAUCCCCAACAUAAAGCAAAGACAAGUGCAUUGGCACAUCAAAUUAGCAUGCACGUGACAUGCGUGAAUGAAAAAACACUCAUAAAUUGUAACAAAAUAAGAUACCUCCAAAUGCUCAAGCUGCUCUCUCUCCUCUUGUGCUAUCUCUUCAGGUGUCUUUGUCCUGUCAGAGGGUUGAGCACGGCUUACCAUGACUAAGUUGCCAAAAGUUUUGAAAUAAGAACGGGAUUUUUCCUGUGAAAUUGUAAAUAUCAAGGAAUAAAAAAAACUCUUAUACUAAAGAAAAAAAAUUACAACCGUAACAAGUUAGAAACCAAUAAAGGACCUUCAUGAAAAUACCUGUUCAGAAAGCUCAUCCUUCUUCGAAUGCUCAUUUGGAAUGUUCUUGUCUGGUUCAGUAAUUUGUAACAGUUUAGAGGGCACAAUGGAUGUGAAGGAUUUGUCCAAUUCUUGCCUAAAAUCUUCAAGUUCUUCCUUAUCUUUUGCUCUUUCAGCCUAGAAUGGAUCAAAGGAAAAACGAAGGAAAUCGUAAAUAAAGAAGGAAAAAAGUUUCAAGGAACGCAUGUAAUCACUAUCACCAAACAAGUUAAUGCCAUAAAUGAUUAGAAACCCACCCUAUAAUAUUUGUCUUUUGCCAUAACCUCCUUCAUUACUUCCUUCUUGCUUUUAGGUCUCUGUAGUAUGAAAACAAUGAAACCAAUUACGAUCAUUUAUAAGGGGGGAGAGAGAGCAAGAUAAAAGAAUAGAUUAUAGUGGGAGAAACAAGAAACAGAAUUCCUUUAAAACUACAAUGAAUUUCUAAAUUCGAAGGGGAAUUAACUCUUAAAUAUCAUAUAAAGAGGCAAGCAGCAAAGCAAUCAAGAAAUGUCAAUUAAAAUCCUAAUACAAGUACAAUACCUAAAAUCUAAUAAAAACUUAUUUUACUGAUGUGCAUAUCUUAAACAAUCUUGAAUUUGAAUAUCACAGAGCAAAACUCAGAUAGCAGAAGGGCUCACAUUUUCCUCUCCUUCCAUUAGAUCACCAUCCAUUUGAUCUGUCAUGGCUAACCUUUCUACAGAGAACAAAGUAGGCACCAUUACUGCUAUUAGAAUAGUCCUAACAAUCAAUCACCAAAUCAUAGGGAGAUGCACGUGUUUCCAACAACAACAUAAAAUCACUAAAAAAAAAUUUGGUUAGCAUCAAAGAUCUGCUAUCGUUUUGUGGGUUUUUACUUUCCUUUACUCCAUAUGAGCAAGAGUUCCUUCGGAUACUUGUGAUAAAGCCUAGUCCAGAAAAUGAUAAUAAGUAGAAGCCAGAAUUGUCCAACUCAACCAUCAAGUCAACCACAUGUACUUCUAUCCAAACAUUACAGUUAAAAACCAUGGACAUGUCAAUAACCAAAUUUCAAAUGGUAAAUGGUAACUGAACCCUGAAUGAUGCAUUCAAAAUCUAAGUUGCACAAAUGAAAACUGAAACCCUACUGGAUAAACAAACAACACAGAUAGAAGUAUCUCUACACAUACUCUUAGUUUGAGUGGUUUCUGUGCCAUCGUCGUCAUCAUCAGGCAGCACAUCAUCCUCAAAAUCAUCCCUUUCAGAUAAUGCACCAAGACUUUGAAAUUCAAAGUCGUCUUCUUCUCCAUCUGAUAAGUUAUAUUUGCCUUUCUUGUUCGUCUUUAACUAUUCAUGAAAAUGAAGAGAAAAAAAGAAAGAAAAUGAGAAACAAAACACAUUAAUAAUAAAUUACCCAUGAUUCCAUAAAUUAAACUGAAUAUAGUUCUGAAAUAGAGUUUAUAGUUGCGUGGAAAGCUUGCCAAAAAGAAAGGAAAUUUAGAUAUCAUGUGUUAGAUAUGUACAUUUUAAUGAGAUACGCUUUGUGCGACAAACUACAACUGUUUACUAUUUCCCUAUAUUUUCCUGGUCACCAAACAGAAAACAAAGCUGACCCCAAACAAUGGGUAGAAAUUCAGAAAAUGAGCUUACUUGAUGCUCACGCUGCGCACGCUGAAUGGCCUUAUCGAACUCAUUGAGCUCGUCAUUAUGCUCCCCAAUUCGCUUAUCGACAAAGACCGAAGCUUUAUUGCUCUGCUCGUACUCCCUCAGCAGCGUGUUCUUCCUCUGAGCCACCAAAGCAUAAAUAAAGCAAUAAAAUUACAAAAUUUGAAGUAAAUUCAGAAAGGGAGUGACGCAAUUCAGUACCUUUUCAAUGGCGCGAGAGCGGGAGAGGCCAACUCGGCGCUCUUCGCCUUUGCGCUUUUUGCCGAGAAUGUCGAAUUUCCUCCGGGACCAAAUGGUCUCGAACGGGUUGGGUUUUAGGGGGGCCUGGUGCUUCAUGGCGACAGCGUUCGGGCCUAGCUUAUUCUUUUUCUUCUUCGCCGUCGCCGCCGCCUCAUGGUUGUGAUUGGCGUCAGCUCUGCCGAGUUUUGGUGAUUUGGUCUCGAAGGGGUUGGGUUUUGAAACGGACUUCUGGUGGUGCUUCUCCUUGUGUUUCGCCAUUGGAGAAUGGUGUGAGCAGGGAGGUGAUGCCGGUGGUUUAGGGUUUAAGCAUUCGAGGAAGAAGGCGGGGCUUAGGGUUUUGCGGGUGUUAGGUACUCAAGCCCAAGAGCCCAACCUAAAAUACUAGUCCAUAGGUGGGAGGACCCUUGCACUUAAGUACUACUACACAAUUUCUUAUGUAGCCGAUGUUGGAUCAUAACAUUACACCAUCUUUUGGAAGACCCGACGUCCACGGCGGCACCGGUCGCCAAGUCCCUUAGGAACCCAUACUCCCAAGGAGGCAUCACUCACCAAGUCUCGCAAUGUCGGGAACCUAGGCUCUGAUAUCAAUGUUAGGUACUCAAGCUUAAGAGCUCAACCCAAAAGACUAGUUCAAGUCGUGAGUAAGGGAAUCUGUCCCAAAGAUGCUUUGGUGUGAGGUUAGCUAGGCCUUUGCGAAUAAGGACCCUCUUUGGAUCCUCUUUGUGAGGAUCCCGGAGAUUUUCUAAUCACAUCUGUUCAUCGUACAUCAUACGGUCAGUUUUCAUCAGGUAUUGUUUAUAUUUAAUUUUAAAUAAAAAAUUUACAAUAAUUUCUGAUCGUAUGAUAUACGAUGAAUGAAUUUAAUUUGAGAAUUUCCGGAAUUAUCCGGAGAGAAUUCUCAUUCGGCCUUUUACAUAUAUUGGAGAUAAGACACUCGAUAAAAGGAGUCAAGGGAGGGACCUCAUUGUCUCUCCAAAGAAAUAAUAGACCAUUGACCUGAAUAAUUACAGUCACACUUUUUCCAUUCACAACCACCCUUUUAUUUACAAACAGAUGCAGAAACAAUCAUAAUUUUCAUGCAGUGAGAUUAGAUUAUCAUAUAUAUAUGCGCUUAUCUUGGACUCUUAAUUACUUAAUUAAGCCAAUAGCCAGAAAUCUUUCUGGCGCUUUGUAGUAAUCAAAUACCCUCCAACCUUCCUGCUUUUCCUUCUCACAGCAACUGCCAUGCAACUGGCAUUUUGUAUACAGUACUCCACCACACCGCCGCGACCGCCGCUGAUCCGGUUGCCGGUCCACAUCACCAGCAGACGCCAUGUAGUAUACCUCUUUUUCUGCCCCAGUACAAGCAAUCCCACUUCUUGUUUCUUUGCCUCUUCCAGUAUUUUUGGACCUUUCUCCUUAUUCCCUUCCACCACCACUGCAACCUCAAUUUCUACCUCUGGCCUCUUCAACCGACACAUGUUCCUCAAAGAGUGGACAAGUGCAUAAGCCCUUGGAGAUGGAGCUAUCUCCUUGCUGGUCUCCUCACCUGCAGCUGUAACAAAAUAAGUCAUAAAUCAUAAUUCUUUCAACAUAAGUGUUUCUUACAAAAUAAAUCUCAAAUCGGCCCUAAGUGAUAUAUAUUCAGUUUUUCUAUAACUUCACUCAAGAAAGUUAAAGUAGAGUUACACAAAAGAGAACUGCUAUUGGCUCUUUAAAAUAGUCACGCACUCCUUAUAAUAAAAAUAGAUGUAUAAAUAAACAAACGAAAGACAAGUACAAAAUGACUAUUGUAGAGUAAAAAACAUUAAUUCCCUAUGAAAACCGACAAAAUAAAAUGUACAACCUUGCUUUGAGUUUGCAGAUUUGGUGACAUGAAGCAGCACAAUUUUAUCCUGGCUCUGCACAGUGUGAGAGAGAGCCCAUUGGAUAGCUCCUUUGGCUUCAAGGCUGGAAUCAACCACAAUCAUGAUUUUCCUAGCAAUUACCAACGCAGCUUUUUUAGGCUUUUCAUCACCACCACCACCAGCUGCUUUCACUUUCUCUUCUUCUCCAACAUUCCCAGAAUCCUCAAAUUUUCCAUCACUACUUUUUGUAGCGACAUCUGAAGCAUCUGGCUUGAACUGUAUCGGUGGCGACCGAACCCUAACGGGUGGCCUAAUCCUGUUUAGACAGAAAUUAGGCAAUUUAGUGCCUAUUUUCCCCAUUUCCUGAUAUGAAACUCGAUAGACUUUGAGAUGCCUGUAAUUCUUAUAUAUAAAGUGGAGUACUGAAGCUGAACAAAUUUCUAGAUGUGGUGUGGGGGCCAUGGUGUUAAGUUAUUUCUGCUUUGCAUUUGCUUUAUUCGUUUUCUUUAUUUUUGCCGUCUAAUCAUGUUUGUUUCUUUUAUUUUUGCCCUUUGUGCGGUGCUAUUUCUGGUAACAAGCUUCUCAUGAAGCUGUAGGGCCAUGCAAGGCUAUCUGACAUGUUAGGAUAAUCAAUUUAUUUUUCAAAGCAAAAACAAAAAAUACUUGACAAAAAUAACAAUAUAUUGAUCACAUAUCCAAAUAAACAUCUAUACAUUAACUCAACUAUCGACGGUUUGGUGCCAAAUAACAUAUCAUUAUGAAUUACGUAUUUAUUAAAUAUAUAUAGAUGAUUAAACGAUGCAAUUUUCUGUAGUUAGCCAAAAAUUGUAAAACCUGUUAUUCAUCAUGAUUCAUACAUAUGUGUAUCUAUUGGAAUAGUUUAAAUGGAGUUCCCUAGAGAAUGAACUCUGGGAAUGUAGAGUAUAAAUUAGUAUGAUAAAAUAUGAUAAAGUCAUCAAAAUGAAGAAAGAUGUUAAAUAAAAAAAUAUUUAUUCCUCUUCUCCCAUUUUUUUUUCUUACUAUAUAGCACAUUUCAAUUUUACGAUUUUUUUAACAAAAAAGAAACGUCAAUCCGCAUUUGAGUUUGGAUUGGAAUUUUUAUUUUUGAUUCAAUUCAAUUGAACAGUCAACCAACCUAUUUUUUUUUCUGGUUAUAAGACCAAUAGCUCUAGCGGUUGACUCGCUUCUUUCAAAUUGUUUCUCAUUAUUAAGAAAAGGUAACGGAGAUAAAAUACAAGCUUGUUUUAUAGCAAUAGUAAUUAAUCGUUGUUGUUUUAAGGUCAAUCUAUUCACCCAUCAAGAUAAUAUUUUUCCUUGUUCGCUAAUAAAUCGACUAAUUAAACUCUCUCUCUCUCUCUCUCUCUCUCUCUCUCUCUCUCUCUCUCUCUCUCUCUCUCUCUCUCUCUCUCUCUCUCUCUCUCUCUCUCUCUCUCUCUCUCUACACACACACACAGGGAAAAACCAAAAAAGGUGAAGUUUCCAUAAUAUCCAAAUUGCCUUUUUCCAUUAAGAAUUUUAAAAAAAAAUCACAAAAAAAAAACUUCGGGUGGUCAAAAUAUAUUUAAUAACUAUAAUAAGUAAAAUAAAAAAUAGAUAAAUAAUAUAUAUAUAUAUAUAUAUUAUCAAAUAGAAAAACAAAUGAUAAAAUAAAAAGAGUCAAUUAUCACACAAGUACGUGUAGGCUUGGCAAAUGAGUCGUGUUUGUCGUGUUCGUGUCAUUUUCGUGUCAUACUUGUUGUCUUAACGGAUCGUGUCACGUCAAACCUGAUAUCUUAACGGUUCUUAACAGGUGACUCGCAACCUAAUUCGUUAAAGAGUCAUGAAGUUUUGUGUCGGGUUAAUGGGUCAGGCAAAAAAACUUCAAGCCAAAUGUCUUGGCAAAGGAUAUCUUAAUGGGUCUCUUAACGGAUGACUAGAUAACGACCCAAUUUGUUAUUGGGUUCCUAAUGGAUGACUCAAUAACGACCCGAAUCGUUAGCAUGUGGACCCCAGGGUCGGCCCUGAGAAUUUGGGGGCCCUAGGCGAGCCUUCGAAGUGGGGCCCUAAAAUUAUUUGAUCUUCGGUCCUUUGUAUAUUGAUUUGUAUAAAAAAAAUUUGCUAAUUAGAUAAAAAAGUUCUAUUUUCACAUCAAAUAUCAUUAAAAAUUAAUAUCAAAAGAAGAUAAAUAUACAAACAUUACACGAUUCACGUUUUUAGACACAAAUGUACUAAAUGUUUGCAUUCAAGAGUUUAAAAUUGAGAGUGAAGAAUAAUAAAACCUGAUGAUCACAAGAUAAAUAACAAUAAAACUUGAUUGACGAGUAUAAUAAAUUCAACGCCAAUUGUUUUUCUUGUGUUUUUUUCUUCUAAAAUCAACAUCACACUAACGAAUUGAAUAUUAAAGUAAUCCAUUGAAUAAAAAGUUAUUGAAAAGAAAAAUAUAAAAUUCAAAGUUUUGAUUACCUUAAAGUACAAUCUUUAAGACCAUAUGAUAGUUGGUUUAAACAUUCAAUAGAAAUGGAGAGAAUAGGAAGUUGGUUUAAACAUUCGAUAGAAAUUGAGAGAAUGAGAAGUUGAAAGAAAAAAGAUUGCAAAGAAACUUGAGUUUUAUAACUUUAUAUGCAUUUGGACAUAUGGAUUGGGAGUUUGACAGAUGGAUUAGCAGUAAAUUUGAAAAACAAGAAAAAUUAAGAAAAAACUAGUGACUGAAAGGCAGCUUCGUGUUUCAAACUCAACACCCCAAAGAAAAAUGAAGCCAACAUUUCCACUGCACUAACAAAUGAAUUAUGAUAUUUCUUACUUUUUUUUUUGUAUUUAUAUGUUAAGUGCAGGAUAUAAAAUUUUUUUGGGGGCCCUUCCAAAGUGGGGGCCCUAGGCGAGCGCCUACUUAGGCUACCCUUAGGGCCGGCCCUGGUGGACCCAAAACUUGUUAUUUUCAUGUUAUGUUAACGGAUCGUGUAAGAUAUUGCAAGAUCUACAUAUGCGUGUGGCAAGAGGCUAGCGAGUCAUAUAGUUCUAUACAUGCAUGUGAUUUAUAGUCGGCAGCAAAUAAAUAUGUGCCAACCACAAAGAAAUCCGACUGUAAUUUGUGAAUUUUUUAUGCUAAAGUAUGAAUUGCAGUUGAGCUUUUAUGCUCAAUGAUUUUUAAACCUUUUUUAAUGAGUGAAAAAUUAUUGGAUUUGUGUGUACAUUUUGAUUUCUCUGACAGUGAUAUGAUGAUUUUGGUUGCGUUUGAGCCACGCUAGUUGUUUAUGCAAAUACAGAAUGCGUAACUAAAAGCCCUUCUACAUAUAUAAAGUUAUAAUUUGCUUAUCUGGAUUUUCAAUCUUGCAUUAAUAAUUGCUCUAAGCGGAUGCCAGCACAAUUAGGAAUACAAAAAUGAAAAUUAAACCCCACAAAAGUUAUAUAAAUAAAAUCUCACCUAAUACAGUAGAUUCAUUGAACUGCAAUUCAAGUAAAUCGACUGGUAGGAUGAGAUUAUUAGACGGAAAAUACUUUCAUCCAUUCCAUGCAUGGUGUGCUGCGUGCACCACUUUCUCCAUUAAUUUGUUAUUAGCAUAUCGCAUAAACUUUAUAAUUAGAAUUGUACAAAUUUUUCUUGUGAACGGUUUAUUUUGUUAAAUAUUCUGUAACGAUAUUUAUCUACAAAAAAUCAAUUAAAUCAAUAUUAAUCAGAAGUAUUAGUUAUAGCGAGAUCAUACCCGGUGCAUAAUGAAUGUCGAAUUUAGACAUGAUGAAACAAGUUAAAGGUUGUGCUUGGAAACAAAUUUUGUUUGUUAAAGUGCUAAAUCUUUCGUUAAUUAGGAUGCUAAACUACUUUACACAAGAAAAGGAUGUGCCAACCUCCAUUUAGACUUCCAAUCUUAAAAAAGAGAAACAGUAGAUUUGUGAAAGAAAAAGGGAUUUCUGCAUGUCUUAUCAAAAGAAAGUGGCCAAACAUGAUAUAUAAUGUUGUUGCAGCUAAAGGCAAUUAAGCGAAUAAGGUUGACUUGUUACUUCAUUAAUUGAUUAAAUUUCAGUGAGGAUAACCAAUUACGUAGUAUUAUAAGUUCACUCAUAUCAUACUACAUAACAUUUUGUGAUAACAAUGUCACAAUUACACAAAAGUUACCCGUCAUUAGAGAUUCGGACACUGGAGAAGAUGUCAUCCUACCCUGUGCAUUUGGGCUUUCCUCAGUUGGUGGCAAGUAGCGCAUAUAUUAACAAGCUUCAAAGUAGGGUCGCAAAAGUAGUUGGUGUUCAGCCCCAACUAAAACCAGAAUAAAAGGGAAGGAAACUUGCAAAAGAAGAUUCGGUGUCAGCAAAGAUAGCCCACAAGAAUUAGGCCCCAUGAAAUAUUACCACUUUCGUAUUUUAGUAGGAUUAUUUUCCUUUCAAAUUCUUUUUCUGUAAUUUUCUUCUAUUUGAACGAUUAAGAUUAAAUCACAUUAACAUUUUAAGUUUACUCUUUAUAGAAGAAAAAAAGGAAAAGAAGAAAGUGAGAGAGGAAAGAAACGAAGAGAAGGGCAAAAGAUUUAGAAGAGAGUUUAGUAAAAAAAAGAAAAAAAAAAGAUUUAGAAGAUAGAGAAUUCUCUGUUACUUUUUUUUUGGGUCAAAGUUUUGGAUCUUGACCUUUUAAGUUGUAAUUAAGCAGAAAACCCUACAUUGUUCCAAAAAAAAAAAAAACUACAGAACUAGAGUUAGAAUUAUAAACAAACACGACUUUAGAAAUUCAGUUGACACAAAAUUCAGUGCCUUCAUAUCAUCUCUUAAAACCCUUUUUGCCGCUUCUUUGUCUUGUUUUCUGUUUGGUUAUCUGGAUUUUUUUAUUGCGGAGUGUGAGAGUUGAGGAUGCACUUUCCCCAUUGAAGUAUGCUGCCUCUCUACUGCCUUAUAGUCUUUAAACUCUUCAUCAAUACUAUAUUUCUUUUAAAUAAACUAUGUGAUUUUUUAAGAGCAAUUUAAUCUUUCAAUGGCGUUGCUUUUCUACUUUUAUGCCUCUUAAAUAUUUAAUGUUUGAUUUUGUAAUUUUUGUUGCAAUAAUCAUCACUCAUCAUCUUGACUUUUUUUUUUUUUUUUUUUUUGGUUGUUAUGGUCAAUGCAGGCUGGGGACUGCUUAAGCUGAGCAAAAAAACUGAAGGUGUGAGACAUGGGUUCGGCUUGUUCUUGCUUCCGGUCAAAAGAUCCUAUAGAAGAUAAUAACGGUGACAAUGCAAGUAAUGGUGAUGUUGGCUUCACUCAAAACUUGUACAACAAAGUAUGUUUUUCAGAUUUUGAUUAUCACUUUCCUAAGUUCGUUAAUUCUGUUUGCAACUUUUAGUUUUAUGACAUAAUCAAAAGUUCAAAGGUCAAUAGGUCUUAAGUUCAUCUGACACCUUCAUAUUUUUGUGUUUCUAUGGGUCUUAAGUUCAUCUGACACCUUCAUCUGACGCUCCGAUUAGAAGAUGCGACUAUGGGACAGAGGUUCAGGGCCGAAGGGGCAGAGGAAGAUCUAGGAAAACUUUGGAAGAGACCCUAAGAAAAGACUUAGAGUACUUGGAUCUAACGGAGGACAUGACACAGGACAGAACACAAUGGCGUUCUAAGAUUCAUAUAGCCGAUCCCACUCAGUGACUUGGAUUUUCCAAGUCUCCAACCGAGAAGUUUUCCUCACUCGGGAAAUUAAGGGAACACUAUCUCAACCUAUAUGCUCCACUCACAAAGCUUCAACAUACAAGCUUCAACAAAAGAAAAUUCAAAGAACUUAGCGAAGAAGGCUUUGGUGUAUUUAACACAAUACGUUGAAAUGAAGGAAAGCUUAUUUAUUGAUAUCCCCGAUAAGUUACAAAUAUGUACAUAUACUUGAGUCAAAAUAAACAAACAAGAUGGAGCCUUCACAAAGGUUGCUUAGGAGAAGUCUCAGCAGUCGGUAGAGCACCAGAAAGAGAAGGCACCGGAGGGGGAUCAUUCGGAGCCUCAGUAUUGGACAAAACCCUAGAAGGAGGAGGCAUCAGAGAUUGAUCAUUUGGAGCUUCAUUACGCGGUACAAGCCCCCAGAAGACGAAGGCAAUAAAUGCCUUUGGAACAAACCCACAAAUCUCUGAUGAUCAAGUAAAACCUGACCAUCAGAUUCCUUCAUCUGGUCAAGCUUCCUCUUCAUGUUUGUAGCAUAGUCAUGUGCGAGCCGGUGCAACUGUUUAUUCUCAUGCUUGAGCCCUCUAAUCUCCUGUUUGAGACUCAUCACUUCAGCCGCCAAUGAUUCAACUUGGCGGGUUCGAGCAAAUAGGCGUUGGGCCAUAUUAGACACAGAACCUGCACACUGAACAUUGAGAGCCAGAGAAUCCUUAACAGACAACUCAUCAGACCGUUUGGAAAGUAGUCUGUUAUCUUUGGGAGUGAGAAGGUUCCUGGCCACUACCGCAGCGGUCAUAUCAUUCUUCAUCACGGAAUCCCCAACGGUAAGAGGACCAGUAGGGGAGACGAAGGAUGGGCGCCAUAUGUUGUUUGGAAAAGGCGGGGCUGCCUCUUCAACAAGGUUCAAGUCAAAACGACGGUCGGAGGGGCCAGACAUUUUCAAAGGUGUUGAAGAGAGAAGAGGUCGGACAAAUCAAGAUCUUAGAAGUGCAAGAAUGGAGCUUCUACUGGGGGAUAUUCAAGUGUGUUUUGGAACUUAAUGUCAGCCCCUAUAAAAAUCUGCACUCGACGAAGCUUCAGAAAUCGAAGAGGCGCCUGCUCAUAAAUCGAAGAGGCGUUUGCUUUCUCAAAAGCUGGGCUGCUCAGAGAUUCUCAAAAGCUGGGCUGCUCAAAGACCACAAAGGCCGAUCUCAGAAAUCGAAGAGGCUUGCUUUCUCAAAAGCUGGGCUGCUCAGAGACCACGAGGGCCGAUUUCAGAAAUCGAAGAGGCACCUACUUUUCCAGCCUUGUUAGCACCUGUCACACGCACACUCAGCUUUGCGGAAAUUAUGGGCAUUCUGUCGAAGAUUUCUGGCGAAGUAGAAAGCACAUGAAUCGUACUGUUCAAUCACCCACUUCCCACACGCAACAGUAGCUCAUGGGUACCACAGAUAACUUUUCCAAAGUUCUCUGACAAAGUUGAGACACGUGAAGCUUGCAGCUCCCACUACACCGCUCUGACCAAGAAGGGUAAAAGAAUUGCAAAGAAACAACACUAACAAAGUUUAGACACAUAAAUUUUGAAGGUCUAGCUACCAUAUUAUUACCCACAAGGGUAAAGGAACAGUACCACUGCUGGAUAAUUGGAAAGUCUCAGUGUGUCAACCUCUGUGCUUCGUGGCAAGGUAGACUAGCAAACAUGCCCAACCUUUACUCACAUUCGAGAAAACACUCCUAACAAGAUUGCUUGCUCCAAAAUCGAAGAGGCACCGCCCUCCGAAUCUCGAGAGCCAGACUCCCAACAUGAUUACUUUCUCAAAAAUCGAAGAGAAGGUAAAGGAACAGUACCACUGCUGGAUAAUUGGAAAGUCCCUGUGUGUCAACCUUUGUGCUUCAUGGCAAGGUAGACUAGCAAACAUGCCCAACCUUUACUCUCAUUCGAGAAAACACUCCCAACAAGAUUGCUUGCUCCAAAAUCGAAGAGGCACCGUCCUCCGAAUCUCGAGAGCCAGACUCCCAACAUGAUUACUUUCUCAAAAAUCGAAGAGACACCGCUCUCCGAAUCUCUAGAGCCAGACCCCCAGCAGGAUUGUUUUCUCAAAAAUCGAAGAGGCAUCGUUCUCCGAAUCUCGAGAGCCAGACCCCCGACAGGUCUGUAAUCUUCACACGCAACAUCAGCUUUCCAGAUACCACAAACCACUUUUUCAAAGUGCUCUGACAGAGUUAAAACAUGUGAAGCUGGCAGCUCCCACUACCGUGCUAUAACCAAGCAGGGUAAAGGAAUAGCAUUAUUACUUGAUGUUAGGGAGACUCCUAUAUAUGUCGACUUCCAUCCCUAACGGACAGGCAGACCUGCAAAAAUGCUCAACCCUUUCUCUUAUCUGAGAGGGCACUCCCAACAAAGCCUUUCGAAAUAUUCAGCUUUUUUUCCCCCCGAUAAUACCUCUGUAAACAAGCUAUACUAGAGCAAGAAUAUCUCAUAUCAUCAGGGUUAAAAGCAAGAGUAUCCCAUAUCAUGCUUUUUCCCUGUCUUUUCCUUUGGCCUUGUUCUUACCUGCAAGACAAGGAGAAAGAGAGCAAUCAGUCAGCACUUGGAAUCAAGCUUUCAGCCAGGAACUGACUGCCUGGAACCCCUUACCUGAUUACUUACCUGGCAUUGCUCUCGAGUACUCAUCUUCAACAUCUUAUGCUUCCAGGGAAGAUACCACAUUUGCCUGAGGAACAGAUAGGGCAAGUGAGAAGGAUACAAGGAAGCAUGUGGAGACAAGCGUAACAGCACACGUGCCGAUACAUCCACUACUCUAUCAAAAGCAAAAGUAUCUCAUAUCAGCAGGGUCGAACGUACUCUAGAUUUGAUGGACUUGUUUUGACCCUCAAAUUCUUCAGUCGGCCUUAUACUCUGGAGGAAACCAGAAAACCCUCCAGCCCAGUUCAAGAAUAAGCCUGUGGAAAGUUACUUCUUCAAAAGCAAAAGUAUCCCAUAUCAUCUCUCCUCAUUUUUUCUUCUCUUUAUCCUUCAUGCUGCCUGCAAGAUAGGGAGAAUGUGAACAAUCAGCCGGAGCUCUGAUUGCUUACCUUGUCUGUCACCUCUUUCAGCAGAUCCCCCAGCUCGGCGACUUGGGGGACUCCUACUACAUGGUUUGUAUCUCGCUUGACCAAGCAUGAAACUACAAGUAAGCUUCAAGUGAAAUUGAUACAUUACCUUGUGCAUCUCCACCAGUUACAGAUACCACCACUGGAUGGAGGAAGAGUACUUCCAGAGAAGAUGCCACAUCUACCUAUGAGACAGAUAAGGCAAGUCAAGACGAUACCACACUCCGGUACUUAGAAGUUUCGUGGCUACGAGAUCAUUCUCCCACAAUUUUUCCUAAUGUCAUUUGUAUUAAAUCAUUCACUUGUACUCACUAAAGGAGAGCUUGAACCUAUGUACUUGUGUAAACCCUUCACAAUUAAUGAGAACUCCUCUAUUCCGUGGACGUAGCCAAUCUGGGUGAACCACGUACAUCUUGUGUUUGCUUUCCUAUCUCUAUCAAUUUAUAUACUUAUCCACAUUAAUGACCGGAGCAAUCUAGCGAAGAUCACAAAAAGUGACCGUUUUCGCUACCUAGGAUCUAUCUUGCAAGAGAACGGAGAAUUAGAUGGAGAUCUCAACCAUAUAAUACAAGCUGGAUGGAUGAAGUGUAAGAAUGCAUCCGGCGUGUUGUGUGACCGUCGUAGGCCACUGAAGCUCAAGGGAAAAUUUUAUAGGACGGCAAUAAGGCCAGCGAUGUUGUAUGGCACAGAAUGUUGGGCGGUGAAGCAUCAACGUACACAAAAUGGGUGUAGCGGAGAUGAGGAUGCUUCGUGAGAUGUAUGGGCACACGAGAAAGGAUAAGAUUGGGAAUUAGGAUAUCCGAGGUAAAGUAGGAGUAGCCAAAAUUGAAGAAAAUAUGAGAGAAAAUCGGUCCCGGUGGUUUGGACAUGUGCAAAGAAGGCCUACUGACGCUCCGGUUCGAAAAUGUGACUACGGGACAGAGGUUCGGGGCCGAAGGAGUAGAGGAAGACCUAGGAAAACUUUGGAAGAGACCCUAAGAAAAGACUUGAGUACUUGGAUCUAACGGAGGACAUGACACAAAUGAGCGCAAUGGCGUUUUAGGAUUCAUAUAGCCGACCCCACUUAGUGGGAAAAGGCUUUGUUGUUGUUGUUGUUGUAUGGGUCUUAUCUCAAUUGAAUCGAUUAAAUUGAAAUCUGAUGAUCAUCUAAUAUCGAUUUUUAGAUUGAGAAAUAUAGAGCAUCAAUCAGCAGUUGGAGAAGAGAUAAUUUAGUCAAUUCAUCUAAUGAGGUUGCCGACGCAUCUUCAAUACCCGAUGGGGCACCUCAGGUUGCACAAUCUGGCACUACUACUGUUGAAGUCCAAGUUGUCCAAGCCCCUCCACAAGAGGGACUAAAUGAAGGGUUAAUAUAUCAGAACCCUAAUGAGUCCUUAAAGAAGUCAUCAUCUGGAAAAGAAGCCACAGGGCUUAUGUAUAUCUAUGAUUUAUUAGAACGUGGCGAAGAAUGUCCCACAUGCCUGGAAGGUGAUCAUUAAUUUAGCGAAAUCUGUUUCCUUAUGCCAGAAUAUUAGUGGAUUAUAUGUGUUAUUCUUUUAUAAACUGACUUAAGGGUAUAAUUAUCUUAUGCUGAGGGUUCCUCUAUUUCUUGUAAUGACUGCAGAAUACACGACUGAAAAUCCAAAGAUAACAGUGGAGUGUUCUCACCAUUACCACCUUUCUUGUAUUUUUGAAUGGAUGGAGAGAAGCCCAACCUGCCCAAUUUGCAGCCGGGUAAUAUUCAAUUUCUUCCUUGCCUUUUUUAACUUGUAUAUAUGGAUAUAGCAAAUAUCACGUUUUCCGACAGGCACUUUCUGAAUUAGGGUUACUCUUAAGUUAACGUGCAAAUUGAGUUUAGACGCCAAUUUGUUUUCUAGCUGAUGAGGCAAAACUUGCAUAACAUUGGCACCGGCUGUACACAACUUUCUGCGAAUAUCACAUGACUAAAGGCAAGGCUAGUACACAGCUGGUGUAAUGGUAGAAUCUCUUCGCCAAUGACUGAUGACGUGAAGUUCAUCCUGAAAAUUAUUGGCCAAAACAUACCUGAAAUAUUUUGGAUUUUGUAACUUCUCCCAACUAAAUUUAAUCAAAUCGGCAAACUUUGUGUUGCAUCUGAUCGUUGUUAAUUAAAUUGAUUUUCUAGGUGAUGUUAUUUAGUGAAACGUCUUGAGACUCAACGCAAAUUGUUUGGCAUGCAAUGGUCAGUGAAGAGAUACCAAAACCAACAGAAAAGUAGAGCUUUUUCUGGUCACCAAAUCGAAAAGUCUGGUCACCGUUGUGUGCUAGAUUCUUGUAUUUUGAUAUGCUCCUUGAACUAAUUUCAAUUAUUCGAUUCCUUUUUUGCAAUUCUUUCUUCUUGAAAGAGUGAGGCUGCAAGUAUUCUAUAACUUUCCGGCUUAAAGUAUUUGUCCAAUUGAGCAGUGACUUAUUCUAUCAGUUACUGUGUCUCAUUUAUCUCUUUUUAAUUUUUUUCGUUUCUUGUGCAUAGUUACAUUGUAUCUUAAUCAAGUACUAAGCUGUAAACCCUAAUUGAAAAAGAAAAUUCCUCCAAAGUCACCUCAGUUACAGAUACCAAAAUCCUAAUUAAUUUAAUAAUUAAACUAACAUUAUAGAGAAAAAAUACAGUCAAAUAGAGUUUAGCUCACACAUUUACUCAAUAUUUUUCAGGUCUUUGGAAAUAUAAAUAGAAUUACAGGACAGUUUCAAAGUUCAGUUCCUCAUUGCCAUCGUCUGAUAAUCUUCCUUUCAAUAACUUACAUAUGGUACCAAAAUAUGGAUUGCUACAAAAGCAGUACGUUUAGGGUUGGUCCAAAAUUUACCAAGAAACCAGAAAUUUAAUACAGAGAUAGCACACAUAUAUAUAGUUUUGUUUUCUUUCCUUUUAAUUCUUCCUUUCUUUUUCUACCCAUUGAUGAUCAAGCAGCAAAGCAUCCGAGAUGGCAUGAAUAAAAUGGUUCCAGUGUAAGGUCCAGCUGGUUCCUCCUCACUUGAAGGAAUUCAUCUUGCUGCGUCCCCCUGCAUAUCAUAUCGUAUCAGACUAUGCAUUGCAUAUAAACAAGUUAAUUAGGGUCGUUGAUACCAAGUUAAUUAACUUCUUAACUGAUUCAUCACUAUUGUCAGUGUGGUCAAACAGAUUUUCUAUAAAACAAUAUUAACAUGCUAAGAGCAUCUCCUGAUGUGUAGCACAUAUACAUCUCUUAUUGGCCAGAAUGCUCUCCAAUUAUAAUUUUGAGGGGAUUUAAGUACGCAUCUUGACCUGAAGAUGAAAGUUUCAUCUGCUUUUUUUUUUUUUUUUUUUCUGUAAGUGAAAUUUACAUCUUCACAUUGGAGCAACAACUACAUUUAGAUUUCCCAAAAUUAUAUGAAAUGUAAAUGUGAUUUUUACAUCUCAAAGCUGCAUCUUUUCCAUUGAAAUUGCUCUAAUAAAACAAGACAAAUUAACAGGCCCUAGAAUUAAGAAUUUUAUGUGGGAAGAAUAAUCACCCAAUGUUAAGACAUGGAAGGGGCUGUGGAAGCAGGUCAAGGUCAUGGUUCUGCUGCUCCCAGUUUUGAACCUGGGGCUGAGCUGCAGCCUUCUCCUUCUCCUUUAUCUAUUUCCAAAAUUUAUAUGAAAAACAGAAAACCGAAAAGAAGAAUCAUCACAUAAAAAACCAUCCAAGUUAAAGGCAAAUAUAAACCCUAGACUACAACCCUAUUUGACUAUGUGAUAAAAUAGUAUAAGCAUAUUAUUACCUUCUUUGCUAGCAAGUUAUUUUGCUCCUGUAUCGCCUUUUCCUGCACGACACAAAAAGAUAAAAAACAAUUAAAUGAGCCACGUAAAAUAUAUGCCACACAGUACCAUUUCUCUUUCUCUCGCAGAGUCUAAACAUAUUCACAACGGAAAAAACAUGCUAUAGGUGCCCUAACCUUUCUCUGAAGCUCAGUGAUGGAUUCAUGCAUGAGUUGAUUCUGAAAGAAGUUAAGAGAAUACUUUAGCGUCAUCAAACUCAAAAUUAGUCUAGUGUAAGUACAAAUGCACCAUUAAGAGAAAGCGAUCCUCGUUAGCAAGCAUAAUAAGUAUUUACUUUUCUUAAUCGAAUUUGUUUAUGAGCGGUGUCAAGCUGUUGCUCCAAACUUUGGAUAUCCUUGAGAGUCAAGGAAUCCAGGUCUUCUCCCAAAUAGUGCCUAUGGUUUCUUUGCAAAACCUCAACUUUAGCCUUUAGUCUGGAAUAUUCAAAGGUCCAGUUACCCUGCGCAUCAAGAAAUUGUAUGAGUAAUUAUAACUCAAUCAAAAUAAGGCGUACCAGUUAAUUAGUAUUAGGAAUUUGAUGGCAUGGCAAACCUGCGACUCAAAAUCUGGUUCAACUAGCUGUCUUUCUGCGUAAGAGUAUCUUUCAUAGCGUUCAAGGAUUUGCUCCAUACUGUAAUAUCCAUGAUCAGCAAUAUCAAGCAUAUGAAAAAGUAGCAAUUAGCAUCUAGCUAGAAGAAUCAACUUGCUCCUCUAUCAAAAACCCCAUCUUAAUGAAUUGAUUGAUUAAUAAUAUGAUAGAAGUUCUGAAACACUUCCAAGGGAGUAUAUUCAUAUGAUUACGAAAAUUAGUCAUGAUCAUCAUCGCAUGAAAUAAUGUUGAUUAUUAUAUAAUGAAUGCCAGGCAAUACAAACUUUGGAGUUGCAACAGUCUUGCACUUUUUUAUUCUUGUUUGCGGUUUACCGUCGAGCAAGCAAGUCACGUUUCACCUCUAAGAGGUUCCAGUACUACUACAGAUCUGAAUGUGUGUGUGUAAAUAUGAUCAACUAGGAGACUGUUAAUAUAUAGCUAUAUAUUAUAUACAUAUGUUUACAAAGAGACUGUUACAUAUUGCACAAGUUAAGCUAUUUUAUGGUCUCCUAGCUUCAAAUAAUUGAGCUCCUGUUGAAGACUGUAUUAUUUAAAUAAACAUCUGAGAUUUAAUGCACCAGGAUUCACGUUUUCUGGGCUUCCUUUCAUUUCACUUCAUAUAUUCUUUAGUUAAAAACACAAUAUUCAAACUGUAUUAUGUGCGUCGUCUGGGUAUUAUAUAUCAUAUAUGGUAGUGGAAUAUUCUCCUGCGAGGAUUCUACUUGCUGCUGCUUCCACUCCUUGUUUGAUGUUUUUACUUUUGCUGACAAAAGAAAUUGUUCUGCUUACUCAUUACUAAGUUAACAAGGAUUAGAAUUAGUAAUGAUUAUAUCAAACCGCUCUCAGAAUUAGUAAUCAAGCCGGCAAGUUUAGUCUCAUCACAAUUGGUGGGUUCAAUUUAUUACGGAAAAAUAUAAAACAAGUACCGAUCAACAUGUUUCUUUUGUCAGAGGCAACCAUUAAUUAAGACCUUGAAACUCUAAUUAAUUUUGAGUUCUAAAAUUUAAACACUCAUUAAGUAAUUUGGCCAACAAAAGAAAAUGCACAAAAGAAGUACAUCUAGCUUUUUUGGUCAAUAGAAGUACAUCUAGCUAAUUUAAUAUUAUUUCCUACUGCUUUCAUCGAUCGAUCUUCUAAUUACCUUGCAGAAACCCACAUCUCAGUUAACCAGCAUCAGAUUAUUACAAAUUAACAACUCUAGUUACUUCAUCUAUAAUAAAUUAUAGUUAACAGAGUACCACUUUAGGACAACUCAGGGUUAACCAUUGACGAAAACAUAAAAUCACAUGCUUAUGGUACAACCUUAAUAACAAAUUUGUAGUGAAAGAAAACAAAACAAAAAUAUGCAAAAAAGAGGAAACAGCAUCUCCAACAGCUUAAUUAAAUAAAGCUUUUUGGUUACUUUGAAAAAAUAUAGAAAAACCGAACUAAAACGGGCUAGCUAUUUUAAUUCGGUAAACAAUAACUAGCAAGAUUUAGAAGAAGAGAUAAAGUUAAUUUUUUGUUAAACAUUAAAAACUAUAAAAUUGCAUUGUUUGUGGGCUUCAAGAGAAGAAAAAGGGAUUGGAGUCUAAAGUUUAGGAAAAAAUAAUAACAAAAUAUUUUAACUUUAGCUAAAGUAGCUAGUAUUGUUGGGAGUGGUGGCUAACCAAAUUAACAUUUGUGUCAUUUGGCUAGCUACAGUAACAAAAAUUUCGGUAGUAUUAUUGGAGAUGCUCUAUCAAAGCAAGGUAUAUGAAAUUUUUUAGCUAGGUUGAGCUCGAUUUCUUAGGCGGCGUUUCUAAAUCCAUUUACUUUCUUACAAAUACAAAUUUCUAGGUUUCUCGAAUAGAGAAGUUAGGUUUUUUCUUUGAUAGAAAUUUUAGCUAGGUUUCAGUAAAUAAAAUUUGAGAUGAGGAGUUAUAAUUAAUAAGAAAAUAGUAUACCAUGAAUCUGUGGCGUACUCAAGGAGCUUCCCCUUGUUGGAGAAGACAAUCAAAGCAACCUGAGCAUCACACAAGACAGAGAUCUCAUGAGCCUUCUUCAGCAGCCCAGUGCUUCUUUUGGAAAAAGUCACCUGCCUGUUGAUCUUGUUCUCUAUGCGCUUCAGCUGAACUCUACCUCUCCCCAUGAUUAAAUAUUUAUGGACUCUGAGUUACCACUCACUCUUUCAACUGCUUGUUCUUUGAUUUUCUUUCUCAAAAAAACCAAACAACCGAAACCCCCAGAAAAAGAAAGACAACCCAGAAAAUGAACUGGUAGGCUGUCGAUUUAUAUACAAAAAAGAAAGAAAUAUAGUUACGAUUUAAUGGGAAUAUUAAUUUAUGCAAAGUUUCUUCUUAUAGCCAAAUACGUGAAGGUGCCUGAGAAAGUAUAUGUGCUAAUAACCAGCUCUACAGACUUUUGAUUUGAUGAUAGAUUAAGCGGUUUUUGUGAAUACAAGUGGUUUUGGGAAAACCGGUGGGGUUUUAAAGGAUUUGUUGUCGACUUCUGAUUAGCCGAGGUGUACUAUGUAGUCGUUUUCUCUCUUUCCAACGGGGCCAGGAAAAGACACCUCGAUUUUAUCUUUCUUACAUACCGGUGUAGCUCACUAGGUACCGGCUUCCUGCCGGACUCAAGAGUCUCAGGUAUGCAUUGUACGAACCUUCAGCUUUACUGUUACUUUUUUUCUCGACUCGUAACCAGCUGACGUACGUAUGCACAGUGCCACUUUUUGUGUAGUGAAAAUGGACUAGGAUUCUCCCCUGCUAUUCGGUAUCCCACAUUCCAACAAUGUGUUCAUGAUCAAUUUGACAAGAAAGCAAUAUUUAGUUGUUUAUCACUAUCUCUUUGCGCUUUGUAUUAUUCAAUUACUAGAUGAAGGGCACAUAUUGUAUGAAGCGUACACAUUGCGGUUUUAGAGAUGCGUUUUUUCAAUUGAUGAGGAUAAGGACGUGUUAAUUUGGAAAGCUUCUACAUCUAGAGUCUUUUGUUUUUUGAUGGCUAUGAAAUUGUUCGUCAUUGAUUUUCUGUUAAGAGUUGGGCUUCCAUUGUUUAGUGUCAUUUCAUUACACCUCGCUACUCUAUUUUAGUUUGAAAGAUUCUUUCAAAAAGCUUCCAACGGAGGAUCAACUUUAGCGAUAGGGCAUUCCGCUGGUUCUAAUAUACCAACUAUGUUACAAAAAUUCUAAAUCUAUUAAGCAUUUAUUUUUUAGUUGUGAAUUUGCACAAUGGGCUUGGUGUUGGCAAGCUACCCAAUUUGGAGCUAUUCUUCCGCUUACGGGUUCUUUCUUAGAUUUCUCGCUUGCUUUUGUGUCAAAGCGAUUUUCUCCACUACUUUGCAAUGUCUGGCUAGCUUCAUGGUUUUUCUUGCUAAUGGCUAUUUGGAAAAUGCUUGAUAAAGUGAAGUUUGAAAGUAAGCCUUAUUCCUUCUCACGCCCUUGCCAUUCAUUUCGGUCUGGAUUAGGCAGGUUGGAGUUUUCACCCUGGUCAUGGACGAGGUAUUUUGGGUAAGCAACUUUUAGUCUCUCUUGCAAUCUCGGCUGAGUCUUGUAAAGCUCCAUCUAUAGUCCCUGUUCCUUGGCAUCCUUCACCAUUUUCUUGGUACUGAUGACCUUGCUAAAGGUAACCUGGGUCAUGUGGCUUUUGCUGGGCUUUUCCGAGAUUCUGGGGGUUAUUUUCUUGGUAGUUCUCCCUAAGCUUGGAGCAUCGUACUUCUUUUUAUGCAAAGCUUCAUGGUGUCAUCCUUACUGUGGAGUUGGCCCACGUAUAGGGUUAGCAAAAUUUAUGGCUUGAAAGUGACUCUUCUAGUGUGAGAUCUUGUUUUGCUUCUGGAUCUUUCAUUCCUCUUUGGUCGCUCCAGACACGUUGGAAAAAUUGUAUUUUCCAAUUGCAGAACAUGGUAUUUUGUUGCUCUUACACAUUUCGAGAAUGGAAUGCAGUUGCUGACAAAUUAGCCAAUUUAGAGCUUAUCUUGUCUUCACUUGUUUGACAUGCCGCUCCUUCUAUAGAUAUUUUUUCUCUUCUGCACUCAGAUUUUUUGGGCAUGCUAGCCUACAAGUUCGUCUCCCCUUCUUGAUGUGUGAUUUUCUUUUUUACCUAAUCUUUUUGGAUUUUCCUUUUCAUUUUGCAGCUUGUCUUGCAAAUUCUUACCUUUUAGCUUUAUAGAGGGGUUGGGCCUAUGUCCACCCACUAUUUUUCUUGUAUUUUCUUUUUCAAGAGAGGUAAGGUCUAUGUCCCCCUUCUUUUUCUUGUAUUUUCUUAUUCAAGAGAGGUAAGGUGUAUGUCCCUCCCUUUUUUUCUUGUAUUUUGUUUUUCUUGCUUUAUGAGGGAUAAGGUUUAUAUCUCCUGGACUAGAUGUAACUUUUUUUUUUAUGUCAAUAAAUUUCUCUUAUGCCAUCGAGGUUUUCCAAAAAUAAAUAAAUAAAUGUGUAAGUAUAAAUAAUAGAAAAUUUAAUAGAAAAAAAGUAAUUUUCACUUUACUAUUAUGAAGUUUUGAGGUUUUCAAAACUUUCAAACAUUAAGUUUUUUUCAUCGAGUAUCAUACCUAAGGUUAUGUUUUUCUCCCAGAUUCAUAUACUUUUGUUAGGUUGAAAGUUUGUAACUCCGCUAAAACGUAACGUAACUCUUACAUGGACGAUGACUGUGCAUUCACGUGUCACUUUAGAAGGAACAAGUUCGAUCCUAUCCAAAAGCCCAAAUCAAUCAAUUGAUUCAAAACUCAAAUCAACAACUAAUUAAUUGAUUCAAAUCUCAACCCAAACACCCAAAUCAAUCAAUUUUACAUCUUUGUCAUUUCCUAUGAUAGCAAUACUAGAGUGGAAUUGACUUUGGAGUUUUACCGAAUAAAAAAAAAACAAUUUCAAUUAAGUUUAAAGUUUAUUUUUUUAGCAAUCUCAAACAGAUUUUAAGAUGUGUUGUCUCUUUCUAACUGAGCAUCACUUAGUUUUCAGCAUUUAUCAUAUCUUAUUUUCUUACGUAAUUCAUCUAGCAUGACUAGAACUUUAUGUUUAUGAUCAAAACCAUUCAUAUUUUGAAUCACUCUAUAAACUCAUAUCUGCAAAACAUGAACUAAAAAUAAGGUCGUUUAGUCAAUGUAUUAUAGCACUCAUAAUGUUUUUACCAAUUCCAUUCAUUUAUCUUUAUAUAAUUCAAUGACUAAACGACCUUAUUUUUAAUUGAUUUUUUUGUAAAUGUGACUUUAUUGAGUGAUUUAGAGUAUGAACGGUUUGGAUCAUAAAUACGAAGUACUAUAAUCAACAACGAACAAUUUCGAGUAAAACUAAUACUCAUAUCUUUUGAAUAGUCAAGUAUUAUUCCCCUAUAAAAUGAAAAGGGUCCGCCGUUUAAGGCCAUGUCAUAUCCACCAACUAUAUGGAUGGCUUUUACAUCUUCGUCGUCCUCCACCUCAAAUUCUGAAACCUACCACGCUCGCAGCUGUCUCCCCAUCAAAUUUUACACAACCUUUUACAUCUCUUGGACACCCCAAUAGUGUGAGCUAUGCUCUUUCAUUUCAUCUUCUUCAUCUUCGUCCGCACAUAAGGUCAUACCAAUUUAGAUUUUUUUAUUACUUGGAAAUAAGUUUUAAAAAGAAGAUUUAGCCAUGUACCGUGUCCAUGAUCUUAUAGUAGUAGACAAGUUUGCAUAAUAUAUCAUUAGCACAUGUCCACACACAAAGUGUGUAUGAAUAUUUUUAUUUUGGUUUUUAAAAUGGAAUGAGAGAGUAAGAGACCUAGAGAGAACGUGGGAGUGAGGACAGAGGGGGUUUAUUUUUAUUUUUUAUUUUUUAAUAUUAGAGAUGUUAAAACCACAUGUGGGUGAUGUGUCAUAAAAAAAAUAACAAACUUUGUGUUCUUGUAAUUACUAAAUUGCCCAUAAUUUUUAUUUCUGGUCAAUUUUAAUUAGAGGGUUAGACUGAUAAUUUCCCAGAAUUUUAGUUGACAACUAGAUUUUUAUUAAUAUGUAGUUUGGAUUGAAUAAGCAAAGAAGUCAUGGCACGUGGCAACGAUUAGAUGUAGUGCGUUUGCUCAUUUGGUAAUACAAAGGAAUUUCCAAGGCACAACAAUCUUGAUGAAUUAGGGUAAGUGUUCAACUGUGUGAUCGGCCUCACAAAAAUCACACACAAGCAUUUCAUACCUGAUGAAUUAGGGUAAAAGGAAAAGUGAAACGACAAAAGGAAAUUUUUAGGGCACAUGCUUUCCUGAUGAAUUCUAAUGAAUUAGGGCAAGUGUUUAAUUGUGUGAUCUGUCUCACGAACAUCAUACAAGCGUUUUAUACUACUCACUGGUAAAGUUAAAAUCCAAAUGAAAUAUUUUAGGGCACAACAAUCGUGAUGAAUUCUUGGGCAUUAGUCUCAUGAAUGAAUGAACCCUUCUAUAACAUUAAAAGAUACUAGGCAGCAAAUUAUUAACGUUCUUAU
RNAcentral lists this long non-coding RNA (30192 nucleotides) under Malus domestica (apple). RNAcentral describes it as "long non-coding RNA (MDOM_LNC011812)". Lineage: Eukaryota; Viridiplantae; Streptophyta; Magnoliopsida; Rosales; Rosaceae. The record is from RNAcentral.